Molecule: microRNA precursor, 193 nt
Filed under: Oryza glumipatula
Lineage: Eukaryota; Viridiplantae; Streptophyta; Magnoliopsida; Poales; Poaceae
Description: MIR812 microRNA precursor family
Rfam family: MIR812 microRNA precursor family
Source: Rfam by way of RNAcentral
CAUACCCUGAAUUUUCGUGUUUAACGUUUAACGUUUGACUGUUCGUCUUAUAUGAAAUUAUUUUAUAAUUAGUAUUUUCAUUAUUGUGAUAAAACAUUGUUAAUACUUUAUGCGUGACUUGUCUUUUUAAUUUUUUCAUAAUUUUUUUGAAAUAAAAUGGACGGUCAAACGUUAGACACGGAAAUCUAGGGUU